CUUGCCCUUUAGACUGGGAUAACAGAGGGAAACUUCUGAUAAUACUGGAUAAGUUAGUAUAUCGCAUGAUAUGCAAAUGAAAGCUACGGCACUAAAGGAGAGCUUUGCGUCCUAUUAGCUAGUUGGGAAGGUAAGAGCUUACCAAGGCGAUGAUAGGUAGCCGGCCUGAGAGGGUGGACGGCCACAAGGGGACUGAGAUACGGCCCUUACUCCUACGGGAGGCAGCAGAA
Molecule: ribosomal RNA, 230 nt
Filed under: uncultured Leptotrichia sp.
Lineage: Bacteria; Fusobacteriati; Fusobacteriota; Fusobacteriia; Fusobacteriales; Leptotrichiaceae
Description: partial 16S ribosomal RNA
Rfam family: Bacterial small subunit ribosomal RNA
Source: RNAcentral